UGAUAUAUAGUAGUUAAAAAACUUGUGCUGUUUAUUACACAAAAUUCCUUCCAUGAGACGCAAUGGAAAUGUAUCAUACAUAUAAGAAAGGAAUCUCUCUUGGUAAAUUAACGAGAUUUAAGUGAAUAUCGUUUCCUAACAACGAAAUUAACAACGAAGUAUAUCUAGUGUUAUAAUAAUGUGAUAACUUCAUGAUACAGUAAUGAAGUAACUAGAAUGAGGGGCUAGAAACCCAA
This 236-nucleotide unclassified non-coding RNA is filed under the name Bombus terrestris (buff-tailed bumblebee). RNAcentral describes it as "misc RNA ENSBTSG00005021944.1". Lineage: Eukaryota; Metazoa; Arthropoda; Insecta; Hymenoptera; Apidae. The record is from RNAcentral.